This 414-nucleotide ribosomal RNA is filed under the name uncultured bacterium. RNAcentral describes it as "bacterial SSU rRNA". It matches the Rfam family "Bacterial small subunit ribosomal RNA", at positions 28 to 446 of the family's 1533-position model. The record is from RNAcentral.
GAUUAACGCUGGCGGCAUGCCUAAUACAUGCAAGUCGAACGGAAGCAGCAAUGCUUUAGUGGCGAACGGGUGAGUAACACGUAGGGAACCUACCUAUACGACGAGGAUAACUACUGGAAACGGUAGCUAAAACUGGAUAGGAUCAAUUGAGGCAUCUUGAUUGAUUUAAAGAUCCUUCGGGAUUACGUAGAGAUGGCCCUGCGGCGCAUUAGCUAGUUGGUGAGGUAACGGCCCACCAAGGCGACGAUGCGUAGCUGAGCUGAGAGGCUAAACAGCCACACUGGGACUGAGACACGGCCCAGACUCCUACGGGAGGCAGCAGUGGGGAAUAUUGCACAAUGGAGGAAACUCUGAUGCAGCGACGCCGCGUGAGGGAGAAGGUCUUCGGAUUGUAAACCUACUGUCUUCAGGGAC